This 873-nucleotide ribosomal RNA is filed under the name Triticum aestivum (bread wheat). Its description in RNAcentral is "partial small subunit ribosomal RNA". The record is from RNAcentral. Lineage: Eukaryota; Viridiplantae; Streptophyta; Magnoliopsida; Poales; Poaceae.
AUGAGUGAGGAACUCGAGCGGGACUACGAGAUCGGGGAGGAGAUCGGGCGCGGCCGCUUCGGCGUCGUCCGCCGCUGCGCGUCCCGCUCCACCGGCGACCUCUACGCCGUCAAGUCGGUCGACCGCUCGCGCCUCGACGACGACCUGGACCGCGGCCUGGCCGAGCUGGAGCCCAAGCUGGCGCAGCUGGCCGCCGCGGGCAACCCGGGCGUCGUGCAGGUGCACGCGGUGUACGAGGACGAGGCGUGGACGCACGUGGUGAUGGACCUCUGCGCCGGGCCCGACCUGCUCGACUGGGUCCGCCUCCGCCACGGCGCGCCCGUCCCGGAGCCCGAGGCCGCCGCCGUGGCCGCGCAGCUCGCCGAGGCCCUCGCGAUCUGCCACCGCCGCGGCGUCGCGCACCGCGACGUCAAGCCGGACAAUGUGCUCCUCGACGCCCCCGACGGCGGCGAGGGCGACGGCCCCGUGCGCGCCAGGCUCGCGGACUUCGGGUCCGCGGCGCUGGUCGGCGGCGGAGAGGGCGCGCGGGGGCUGGUGGGCACGCCGCACUACGUGGCGCCCGAGGUGGUGGCGGGUGGCGAGUACGGGGAGAAGGCCGACGUGUGGAGCGCCGGGGUGGUCCUGUACGUGCUCCUCACCGGCGGCGCGCUGCCCUUCAGCGGCGAGACGGCGUCGGACGUGUUCGCGGCGGUGCUGCGCGGGAGCCCCAGGUUCCCGCCGAGGCUGUUCGCCGGGGUGUCGCCGCUGGCCAAGGACCUGAUGCGGCGCAUGAUGUGCCGCGACGUCUCCCGAAGGUUCUCCGCGGAGCAAGUCCUCCGGCACCCGUGGAUCGUGAGCGGAGGGGGCGCCCGAGAGGCGGUGCAGCCAACCUGA